ACGAACGCUGGCGGCGUGCUUAACACAUGCAAGUCGAACGGAAAGGCCCUGCUUUUGUGGGGUGCUCGAGUGGCGAACGGGUGAGUAACACGUGAGUAACCUGCCCUUGACUUUGGGAUAACUUCAGGAAACUGGGGCUAAUACCGGAUAGGAGCUCCUGCUGCAUGGUGGGGGUUGGAAAGUUUCGGCGGUUGGGGAUGGACUCGCGGCUUAUCAGCUUGUUGGUGGGGUAGUGGCUUACCAAGGCUUUGACGGGUAGCCGGCCUGAGAGGGUGACCGGCCACAUUGGGACUGAGAUACGGCCCAGACUCCUACGGGAGGCAGCAGUGGGGAAUAUUGCACAAUGGGCGGAGGCCUGAUGCAGCAACGCCGCGUGCGGGAUGACGGCCUUCGGGUUGUAAACCGCUUUCGCCUGUGACGAAGCGUGAGUGGCGGUAAUGGGUAAAGAAGCACCGGCUAACUACGUG
RNAcentral lists this ribosomal RNA (467 nucleotides) under uncultured bacterium. Its description in RNAcentral is "partial 16S ribosomal RNA". It matches the Rfam family "Bacterial small subunit ribosomal RNA", at positions 29 to 507 of the family's 1533-position model. The record is from RNAcentral.